RNAcentral lists this long non-coding RNA (1490 nucleotides) under Anas platyrhynchos platyrhynchos (common mallard). RNAcentral describes it as "lncRNA (ENSAPLG00000022872.1)". The record is from RNAcentral. Lineage: Eukaryota; Metazoa; Chordata; Aves; Anseriformes; Anatidae.
AUGGCUGUGAUUGCCCACCAUAGCAAGCGCAGGCUGUCUGAGCAGGCCAUCCUUGGAUGCCCAAAUGGCUCGGCAUCAGGACUCAGCCCACCCUUGGGUGAAGGGCACCCGUCUCCCUUUGCCGAUCACUGUCCCCAUGAAGAAGAGCUGGGUCUCUUUCCUGGGUGCUGGCUGAGAGAGGUGGGUCCCAGUGCCCGGCUGUGCCGCCUGCGCACUGCUCCGGCACCAGGCGCCCCUCCUCAGCGGCUGUGCCAGGGUCGCCAUGGCAACGGCAUAAUGGAUUUGCCCUUAUUCAGUCCCAGAGGCCGCAUCGAAGCGCGACGCAAAAUUUGCCGGAGCCUGAAUUCCUUUCAAGUCAUGGCUCGCGUGUCAGGAAGCAAGUUGAUGCGCAGGCAGCGAAUCACUGAGAGAUCAGGAGCCAUGCAUGUUCUUCACAUGGGUUUGUGCAGGCACACAUCUCACCACCAGCGUUUUUCCAAGGGACAUAGUUUGGCAACCUAUUGACCUUGGGAUGCUCCUCCAGGCAGAGGAACACCAGACCGAGGUGUCAGCAAGGUUGUGGGAAGCUGAAAAUGGGUAUCUUCUCUAGGAAGCAUUGAACAACCUCAGCCACAGACCUCACUACCAGUUCUACCUGUGCUUGGUCUUUCAGAGUAUCAACUGGUGUAGAUAUUUUUUUAGUGUUUUGUUGUUGUUGUCUGUUUGUUUUGUGCUGUUUGGUUUGUUUGUUGUUGUUGUUUUCUUCUGGAAACUUUGAAAACUGGCUGUUGUUUGCAAGAUCCCAUAUCUGUAGAGCAAGCCAGCAAGUUGCUUCAUUGGUAGAUUUAUGUUUGGAUCUUCAACGACUUUCAGAUAGAGCAAGUAGUGUAUAUUACAGUGAUGCCCAGAACAAAAACAUACCCACGCUUCCAGUGUUAUUUCCCCCUCCAAAGUUGUGUAGUGAUUUUAUCAAACUCUCUGAAAACAGUAAACUGCAACAAUUGCAGAGGGUGCAUUCAGAUAGAUCGGUAUUUUACAGGAGUGUAUCCACCAUGCUCUUUUUCCUUUCCCCCCCCCCCUCCCUUUUACCCUGCGCAGUCUCAAAUUUAACAAAUUACGAUGUUGCUGUUUCAUUUGGCACUGGUAGAAGGAGGAAGAGGGUGCACUUGGCUGAGAUGAGACACCCCAUAGCUGCAGAAAAUAGGUGCAAAAUAGAUGUAAAAAUAGAUGUAAAAAUAUGGAAGAAAAAAAAAGUUGUUUCCUCAUGCAAACAUAGUAGGCACUCAUAUUUUAAAACAAGUUCAGUUCCAGAGUUGGGAAGAAAAUUUUUAUUACAUAAAAUUGCCACAGGUUUUGCAAACAACUAGAAAACUUCACAACUAGCUAUCUUGCAUCUAAUACAUUUUAAAUUAAAAAUCCAAUGUGAAAAUGUGCCCUGAAAUUAAUGACCAUUGUAUGCCUGGCAGUUUAUCUUACCAUUUGUAAUGCAAUAAAGGAGGAUCAGAUAAACA